Molecule: ribosomal RNA, 467 nt
Filed under: Salmonella enterica
Lineage: Bacteria; Pseudomonadati; Pseudomonadota; Gammaproteobacteria; Enterobacterales; Enterobacteriaceae
Also listed under: 1 other name
Description: partial 16S ribosomal RNA
Rfam family: Bacterial small subunit ribosomal RNA
Source: RNAcentral
AAAUUGAAGAGUUUGAUCAUGGCUCAGAUUGAACGCUGGCGGCAGGCCUAACACAUGCAAGUCGAACGGUAACAGGAAGCAGCUUGCUGCUUCGCUGACGAGUGGCGGACGGGUGAGUAAUGUCUGGGAAACUGCCUGAUGGAGGGGGAUAACUACUGGAAACGGUGGCUAAUACCGCAUAACGUCGCAAGACCAAAGAGGGGGACCUUCGGGCCUCUUGCCAUCAGAUGUGCCCAGAUGGGAUUAGCUGGUUGGUGAGGUAACGGCUCACCAAGGCGACGAUCCCUAGCUGGUCUGAGAGGAUGACCAGCCACACUGGAACUGAGACACGGUCCAGACUCCUACGGGAGGCAGCAGUGGGGAAUAUUGCACAAUGGGCGCAAGCCUGAUGCAGCCAUGCCGCGUGUAUGAAGAAGGCCUUCGGGUUGUAAAGUACUUUCAGCGGGGAGGAAGGUGUUGUGGUUAAU